GCGACCCCAUUUCAGAUGGGAUUACCCGCUGAGUUUAAGAAUAUCAAUAAGUGGAGGAAAAUAAACUUUCAAAUGGUGAGAGAACCAAGAAUAACACAGCCUUAGAAUCGGGUUGCUCCGUCAUUUGAAUUAUAGUCUGGAGAAGCGUCCUCAUCGGCGGACCAGCCUUAAGUCCUCUGGAAGGGGGAUCCAGAUAGGGUGAGAGCCCCGUUGUGCCUGGAACCUAUCGCACCAUGAGGCACUAUCUACGAGUUGGUCUUUAGGGGAAUAUAGCCCAAAUCAGGCAGUGAAUUCCAUCCAAGUCUAAAUACGGGCGAGAUACCGAUAGCAAACAAGCACCGUGAAGGAAAGAUGAAAAAGACUUUGAAAAGUGAGUUAAAGAGCGCUUGAAAUUGUCGGGAGGGAAGCAGAUGGGUGCCAGCGAUGCACCCCGGUUAGAUGUGGAACAGCGACGAGUCGGUCCAUCAAUCCACUCGGGGCGUGGACCAGCAUGGAUUGGGGGCGACCAAAGCCCGGGCUCUCGAUAUGCUCAUGUAAUGUCGUCUCCUCGAUUGUGGAAGGCAGAGCACACCUUCAACGUGCUUCGACAUCUGCGCACUUCGGACAGUGCCCUGUGGUCUCCCCAUUUGACUCAUCUUAAAACACGAAACAAGGAGUCUAAUAUGUGUGCAAGUCAACAGGCGAGUAAACCCGUCAGGCACAAGAAAAAUGAUUGGUGGGUUCCUCCUGAGGGGUGCACCACCGACUGAGUGUGAGCAUACGUGUCGGGACCCAAAAGAUGGUGAACUAUGCCUGAGCGGGGACAAUCCAUAGGAAACUCUGGUGGAGGCCCACAAUGAUACUGACGUGCUAAUUGCUUGUCUGACUUGGGUAUAGGGGCAAAAGACUAAUCGAACCGUCUAGUAGCUAGUUCCCUCAAAAGUUUCCCUUAGGAUAGCUGGAUCUCAUGUGCAAGUUCUAUUGGGUAAAGCCAAUGAUUAGAGGCCUCAGGGGAGCAACACCCUCGACUUAUUCUAAAACUUUAAAUAGGUAGGACGGGGCGGAUACUUUGUUGAGCCGCGCCACGAAAUCAGGAGAUCCAAAUGGGAAAUUUUCGGUAAGCAGAAAUGGCAAUGCGGGAUGAACCGGAAGCUGGGUUACAGUGCCAAACUGCUCACUAACCUAGAUCCCACAAAGGGUGUUGGUUGAUUAAGACAGCAAGACGGUGGUAAUCAAAUUCAAAAUCCGCUAAGGAGUGUGUAACAACUCAACUGCCGAAUCAACUAGCCCCAAAAAAGGAUGGCGCUUAAGAACGAGACCUACACCCAACCGUCAGGGCAAGUGUCAGGCCCCGAUGAGGAGGAAGUCAUAGCGAUCGCUGCAAAACCUUGGGCUCAAUCCUGAGCAGAGCGACCAUCGGUGUAGAUUUUGGUGGUAGUAGCAAAUAUUCAAAUGAGAACUUUGAAUGCCGAAGAAGGGAAAGGUUCCAUAUGAACGACACUUGCACAUGGGUUAGUUGAUCCUAUGGUUCGGGGGAACCCCGACAGAGAGCACGUUUCAUGAGUACUCCGAAAGAAUAUUGGGUUAAAAUUCCUUAACCAGGAUGUGGCAGACGACAACAACAUUGGAAAGUCCGGAGAUGUCAGUGGGAGCCUCAGGAACAGUUAUCUUUUCUGUUAAACAGCCUACCCAUCCUGGAAUCAGCUCAGCCGGAGGUAGGGUCCAGCUGCCGAAAUAGUACCGCACGUCGUGUGGUGUAUGGUGUGCUCCCAGUGCCCCUUGAAAAUCCAAAAGACCGAAGGUCGUCCACUCUUGGUCGUACUCAUAACCACAUUAGGUCUCCAAGGUGAAAAGCCUCUUGUCAAUGGAACAUUGUAGGCAACGAAAGUCAGCAAACUGGAUCAGUAAAUUUGGGAAAAGUAUUGGCUCUGAGGGCUAGGCAUGGGGGUCCCAGUCCCAAAUUUGUCGGAAGUCGGUGGACUGCUCGAGCUGCUCCAGCGGUGAGAGCAGUUCACCGCAUGCCAGUCGGGGGACGGACUGGGAACGAUUCCUUCAGGGGCCUUCCCCGCUGGUUGAACAGCCUACUCAGAACUGGUAUGGACAAUGGGAAUCCAACUUUUUAAUUAAAACAAAGCAUUGCGAUGGUCCCAAUGGAUGUUCACAUAAUUUGAUUUCUGCCCAGUGGUUUGAAUGUCAAAGUGAAUAAAUUCAACCAAGCGCGGGUAAAUGGCGGGAGUAACUAUGACUCUCUAAAGGUAACCAAAUGCCUCGCCAUUUAAUUAGUGACGCGUCUGAAAGGAUUAAUGAUAUUCCCACUGUCCCUGUCUACUAUCCUGCGAAACCACGGCUAAUGGAACGGGCUUGGCAGAAUCAGCGGGGAAAGAAGACCCUUUUGAGCUUGACUUUAGUUCGACUUUGUGAAAUGACUUAAGAGGUGUAGUAUAAGUGGGAUCCAAAAGGCAAAAGUGAAAUACCACUACUUUUAAUGUUAUUUUACUUAUUUUGUGAAUCGGGAGCAGGGCACUGCCCAUCUUUUUGGACCCAAAGCUCGCUCUUCGGGAUGAUCCAGGUGGAAGACAGUGUCAGGUGUGGAGUUUGGCUACAAAGGCACAUCUAUUGAAAAAGAUGCAGGUAUCCUAAGAUGAGCUCAACGAGAGCAGAAAUCUUUUGUGGAAUAGAAGGGUAAAAGAUCAUUUGAUUCUGAUUUCCAGUACGAAUACGAACCUUGAAAGUAUGGCCUAAUGAUCCUUUAGAACUUCGAAAUUCAAAGCUAGAGGUGUCAGAAAAGUUACCACGGGGAUAAAUGGAUUCUGGAAGCCAAGCGUUCAUAGUGAUGUUGCUUUUUGAUUGUUAAGAAUAAUUCACCAAGUAUUGGAUUGUUGACCCACCAAUACGGAACGUGAGAUGGGUUUAGACCGUUGUGAGACAGGUUAGUUGUACCCUACCGAUGAUAGUGUCGCAAUAGUAAUUCAAUCUAGUAUUAGAAGAACUGUUGAUUAACAUAAUUGGUCAUUGCGUUGGGUUGAAAAGCUAAUGGCGCGAAGCUAUCGUGUGCUGGAUUAUGAUUGAACGCCUCUAAGUUAGAAUCUGGGCUAGAAGUGAUGCAUGUGCUCGCCGUCCGCUUUCUGACCCACAGUAGGGUCCUUGGCCCUCAAGGAAACAUGUCGUUUGCUAAGCCACCGCGGUAGAAAGUUCAUGGUAGCCACCAUGAAGUACAAUUUGCAUCGAACAGUGGGUAGAAUCCUUUGCAA
Molecule: ribosomal RNA, 3230 nt
Filed under: Capsicum baccatum
Lineage: Eukaryota; Viridiplantae; Streptophyta; Magnoliopsida; Solanales; Solanaceae
Description: bacterial LSU rRNA
Rfam family: Eukaryotic large subunit ribosomal RNA
Source: RNAcentral